Molecule: ribosomal RNA, 321 nt
Filed under: Mammaliicoccus sciuri
Lineage: Bacteria; Bacillati; Bacillota; Bacilli; Caryophanales; Staphylococcaceae
Description: bacterial LSU rRNA
Rfam family: Bacterial large subunit ribosomal RNA
Source: RNAcentral
GGCCACUCUCGGGUUACACAAUUCAGCCAAACUCCGAAUGCCAAAUAAUUUAACUUGGGAGUAAGACUAUGGGUGAUAAGGUCCGUAGUCGAAAGGGAGACAGCCAAGACCACCAGCUAAGGUCCCAAGAUAGAUGUUAAGGGGAAAAGGAUGUGGCGUUGCCCAGACAAGUAGGAUGUUGGCUGAGAAGCAGCCAUCAUUUAAAGAGUGCGUAAUAGCUCACUAGUCGAGUGACACUGCGCAGAAAAUGUACCGGGGCUAAACAUAUUACCGAAGCUGUGGAUUAUCCGUAAGGAUAAUGGUAGGAGAGCGUUCUAAACG